GCCUUCGUGGUGUAAUGGUAGCACACUCGGCGUGUAUUCGAGAGGUCCAGGUUCGAGUCUCGGAGAGGGCA
Molecule: transfer RNA, 71 nt
Filed under: Stegodyphus mimosarum
Lineage: Eukaryota; Metazoa; Arthropoda; Arachnida; Araneae; Eresidae
Rfam family: tRNA
About the family: Transfer RNA (tRNA) molecules are approximately 80 nucleotides in length. Their secondary structure includes four short double-helical elements and three loops (D, anti-codon, and T loops).
Source: Rfam by way of RNAcentral